AUUGAACGCUGGCGGCAUGCCUUACACAUGCAAGUCGAACGGUAACAGGUCUUCGGAUGCUGACGAGUGGCGAACGGGUGAGUAAUACAUCGGAACGUGCCUAGUAGUGGGGGAUAACUACUCGAAAGAGUGGCUAAUACCGCAUGAGAUCUACGGAUGAAAGCAGGGGAUCGCAAGACCUUGUGCUACUAGAGCGGCCGAUGGCAGAUUAGGUAGUUGGCGGGAUAAAAGCUUACCAAGCCGACGAUCUGUAGCUGGUCUGAGAGGACGAUCAGCCACACUGGGACUGAGACACGGCCCAGACUCCUACGGGAGGCAGCAGUGGGGAAUUUUGGACAAUGGGCGAAAGCCUGAUCCAGCAAGCCGCGUGCAGGAUGAAGGCCUUCGGGUUGUAAACUGCUUUUGUACGGAACGAAAAGCCCCGGGUUAAUACCCUGGGGUCAUGACGGUACCGUAAGAAUAAGCACCGGCUAACUACGUGCCAGCCGCCGCGGUAA
Molecule: ribosomal RNA, 497 nt
Filed under: uncultured bacterium
Lineage: Bacteria
Description: partial 16S ribosomal RNA
Rfam family: Bacterial small subunit ribosomal RNA
Source: RNAcentral